This 373-nucleotide ribosomal RNA is filed under the name uncultured bacterium. RNAcentral describes it as "bacterial SSU rRNA". It matches the Rfam family "Bacterial small subunit ribosomal RNA", at positions 355 to 722 of the family's 1533-position model. The record is from RNAcentral.
GGAGGAAUAUUGGGUCAAAUGGGGGCGGAAGCCUGAACCAGCCAUGCCGCGUGAAGGACUAAGGCCCUAUGGGUCGUAAACUUCUUUAGACGCAGAGCAAUAAGGGUCUCGCGAGAUCCGAUGAGAGUAUGCGUAGAAUAAGCAUCGGCUAACUCCGUGCCAGCAGCCGCGGUAAUACGGGGGAUGCGAGCGUUAUCCGGAUUUAUUGGGUUUAAAGGGUGCGUAGGCGGAAGUGCAAGUCAGCGGUGAAAUCCCCGCGCUCAACGCGGGAGUUGCCGUUGAUACUGUACAUCUGGAAUGCUCUUGCCGUGGGAGGAAUGAGUAGUGUAGCGGUGAAAUGCAUAGAUAUCACCAAGAAUACCAUUGCGAAGGC